UACGGAGGGUGCAAGCGUUAUCCGGAUUCACUGGGUUUAAAGGGUGCGUAGGUGGGUUGGUAAGUCUGUGGUGAAAUCUCCGAGCUUAACUUGGAAACUGCCAUUGAUACUAUCAGUCUUGAAUAUUGUGGAGGUCAGCGGAAUAUGUCAUGUAGCGGUGAAAUGCUUAGAUAUGACAUAGAACACCAAUUGCGAAGGCAGCUGGCUACACAUAUAUUGACACUGAGGCACGAAAGCGUGGGGAUCAAACAGG
This 253-nucleotide ribosomal RNA is filed under the name uncultured bacterium. Its description in RNAcentral is "partial 16S ribosomal RNA". It matches the Rfam family "Bacterial small subunit ribosomal RNA", at positions 524 to 776 of the family's 1533-position model. The record is from RNAcentral.